UCGGGUUUUGGAACCGCAGGAGCCUCGGUUUCUUCUUCAUCAUCGUCUUGUUUCAUGUACAGUCCGAGUUGCUCAAGAGGGUUACUUCCUCCUAGGUUGAAACUUCCGAGAGCGUCCAAAGGUCUCUCUGGGCUGGUUUCAUCAGGUUUUGGUAUCGCACGAGCCUCGGGUUCUUCUUCAUCAUCAUCUUGUUUCAUGUACAGUCCGAGUUGCUCAAGUGGGUUACUCCCUCUGAGGCUGAAACUUCCAAGUGCAUCUAAAGGUCUUCCUCUGAGGUUGAAACUUCCAAGUGCAUCUAAAGGUCUCUCCGGACUGGUUUCAUCAGCUGAGCUUGGUAAUUGCUCAGGUGCACUUGAACUCAACAUCUCUAGGUCCUCCAGAAACCGCGAGUUCUCAUUGAUCUCUACAGUUUUCUCCAUCUGCAGGGAAGUCAACAACAUAUAUAAAAAAUAUAAGAGAUCUCCAACAUGUGGAUCCAAGAAACAAACAACACAUAACUUACAUUGGUGGAACAUAUUCAUCAGCGAACGUUCUUCAUAUUCUAAACAUGAUUAUAUUUAUUGAGUGUUUUUGUAGGGUUUG
Molecule: long non-coding RNA, 582 nt
Filed under: Capsella grandiflora
Lineage: Eukaryota; Viridiplantae; Streptophyta; Magnoliopsida; Brassicales; Brassicaceae
Description: long non-coding RNA (CGRA_LNC001566)
Source: RNAcentral